UGUUGGACAUAUCAAAUAACAAGCUAAUGACGCUAUCUAAAAUUAUAUUUGGUGUUCACGAGAUUUCAAAUAAUCUGAGAAUAGUCGCAAGCUCCAAUAGCUGGCACUGUGACUGUCAAUUGCAAAAAGAAAUGAAUGAGAUUUUCAUUUACCACAACUCAAAAUUAGAUAUGUUUUGCACGUCUCCAGAGGAAUACAAGAACUGGAUGGUUUUCGAUGAACGCCUUUGUGUAAAUGAUUCGGAUUUACCUCCAUCUGUUUACAUACCAACUACAACCACGGGAAUAAUCACAACAACAAUUACCUCGACUACUCCGAAAACAACAACGGAUAAUCAUACUAUUUUUACAACACUGUCAACACCUGACACUGAGCAACCCAAUGAGAUCGUAACGUUGGAAUGUUUAUCGACUAAUAAUACAUUAAAAACUAAUGACAACAGGCAGAAUGUCAGGUGGCCACAGAUCAACUUCUCCCCAACAGAUAUUGGGGCACUUACAGUAAAAAUUAGUGUCGAUCAGGGCGAAAGCACAAGCGCUCUCUCCUUUGGUCUCUUUUGGUUCUCGAAAACUACAAAGGAGUAUUACAUGAUGGAACUGAUACCCGACGAGUUUGGACUUGGUUGUUAUUUUACAAUGCCACUGCAGACAAUUGUAACAGAAUUAAUGCCAAACGUAGCUUAUACAUUUUGUUUGGUUGACGAUCAGCAUAACACUGUUUCUCCUUUCAGUUGUAAGUCAGUUCAUAUUGGCGGUAAUUUGGACACAUAUUACGAUGCCUGGCUUUCGAAAGGAAUGCGUGCUAAAGGUAUAUCUUUGUUGGUGCUUGGUGUCGUUGUAUUCAUGUUGACGGGCAUAAUGCUAAUGUUUUUGGUUUUGAAGAAGAAACCAAUCUGGGUAAAGGGCAGCAAUCGGAUCGUCAAACCAAAUUCAAGUUCCGCCGAUAUUGUCGUCUUAUCACGUGGUAAUACAGCGCAAGAUUUCCUGCAUAAAGAAAAAAUGUUCUCUACAAAAAAUGAGGAUCGGUUCAAUUCAAUCAUUCCGAGGCGCAACUCAAUGGAAAGCCUGGCCAGCAGUAAUAGCUACAUAAGCCCAAACUUAUAUGAAGUCAUCCCGACAUAUAUAUCAUUCGAUAAAAUACCACAAGGGGAUGCACCAACCCAACCAGGAUUUGAAAUAUUUAAUAACUGGCAAUCAUCCUUCGCUUAUAGAGGCAGCGUCAGAUACGCACAAAUUACGCCGCGAACGAAACGUAUUUCUAGUGACCCAUUGCCAGCUAUUCCCACUGAUUCAUAAUAAAACGCAACCAUAAAAAGAUACCACU
Molecule: long non-coding RNA, 1323 nt
Organism: Drosophila montana
Lineage: Eukaryota; Metazoa; Arthropoda; Insecta; Diptera; Drosophilidae
Exons: 3
Source: RefSeq, a predicted model, not a curated record